RNAcentral lists this ribosomal RNA (555 nucleotides) under uncultured bacterium. Its description in RNAcentral is "partial 16S ribosomal RNA". It matches the Rfam family "Bacterial small subunit ribosomal RNA", at positions 355 to 927 of the family's 1533-position model. The record is from RNAcentral.
UGGGGAAUAUUGGACAAUGGGGGCAACCCUGAUCCAGCCAUGCCGCGUGAGUGAUGAAGGCCUUCGGGUUGUAAAGCUCUUUUGGCGGGGACGAUGAUGACGGUACCCGCAGAAUAAGCCCCGGCUAACUUCGUGCCAGCAGCCGCGGUAAGACGAAGGGGGCUAGCGUUGUUCGGAAUUACUGGGCGUAAAGCGAGUGUAGGCGGUUGCCGUAGUCAGGUGUGAAAGCCUUGAGCUCAACUCAAGAAAUGCACUUGAUACUGGGUGACUAGAGGACCGGGAGAGGAUAGUGGAAUUCCCAGUGUAGUGGUGAAAUACGUAGAGAUUGGGAAGAACACCAGUGGCGAAGGCGGCUAUCUGGACGGUUACUGACGCUAAGACUCGAAAGCGUGGGGAGCAAACAGGAUUAGAUACCCUGGUAGUCCACGCCGUAAACGAUGGGUGCUAGACGUUGGCGAGCUUGCUCGUCAGUGUCGCAGCUAACGCGUUAAGCACCCCGCCUGGGGAGUACGGCCGCAAGGUUGAAACUUAAAUGAAUUGACAGGGGUCAUAGCU